CCUACGGGGGGCUGCAGUGGGGAAUAUUGGACAAUGGGGGAAACCCUGAUCCAGCAAUGCCGCGUGUGUGAAGAAGGCCUGCGGGUUGUAAAGCACUUUCGGUUGGGAAGAAAAGUUUGGCGCCAAUACCGCCGCACCUUGACGUUACUGACAGAAGAAGCACCGGCUAACUCUGUGCCAGCAGCCGCGGUAAUACAGAGGGUGCAAGGGUUAAUCGGAAGCAAGGGGCGUAACACGCAAGUCGGUGGUCAAAUCCCCGGGCUUAACCUGGGAACUGCAUUCGAUACUACAUGGCUAGAGUAUGGUAGAGGGAAGUGGAAGUUCCGGUGUAGCGGUGAAAUGCGUAGAUAUCGGAAGGAACACCAAUGGCGAAGGCAGCUUCCUGGACUAAUACUGACACUGAGGCACGAAAGCGUGGGUAGCAAACAGGAUUAGAUACCCCGGUAGUC
This 449-nucleotide ribosomal RNA is filed under the name uncultured bacterium. Its description in RNAcentral is "partial 16S ribosomal RNA". It matches the Rfam family "Bacterial small subunit ribosomal RNA", at positions 338 to 795 of the family's 1533-position model. The record is from RNAcentral.